GGAGUUAGCCGGUGCUUCUUCUGUGAGUGAUGUCCUUCCUGCCGGUUAUUGACCCGCAGGCCUUCUUCCUCACUGAAAGUGCUUUACAACCCGAAGGCCUUCUUCACACACGCGGCAUGGCUGGAUCAGGGUUGCCCCCAUUGUCCAAUAUUCCCCACUGCUGCCUCCCGUAGGAGUCUGGGCCGUGUCUCAGUCCCAGUGUGGCUGAUCAUCCUCUCAGACCAGCUACGGAUCGUCGCCUUGGUGAGCCGUUACCUCACCAACCAGCUAAUCCGACAUAGGCUCAUCCGAUAGCGCGAGGCCCGAAGGUCCCCCGCUUUCCCCCGUAGGGCGUAUGCGGUAUUAGCCUGGGUUUCCCCAGGUUAUCCCCCACUACCGGGCAGAUUCCUAUGCAUUACUCACCCGUCCGCCGCUCGCCACCAGGGAGCAAGCUCCCCGUGCUGCCGCUCGACUUGCAUGUGUUAGGCCUGCCGCCAGCGUUCAUCUGAGCCAUGAUCAAACUCUGA
Molecule: ribosomal RNA, 506 nt
Filed under: uncultured bacterium
Lineage: Bacteria
Description: partial 16S ribosomal RNA
Source: RNAcentral